UACGGAGGGGGCGAGCGUUAUUCGGAAUUAUUGGGCGUAAAGGGCGCGUAGGCGGCCCGGUAAGUCAAAGGUGAAAUCCCUCGGCUCAACUGAGGAACUGCCUUUGAAACUGUCGGGCUUGAGGCCGGGAGGGGGUAGCGGAAUUCCCAGUGUAGCGGUGAAAUGCGUAGAUAUUGGGAGGAACACCGGUGGCGAAGGCAGCUACCUGGACCGGUUCUGACGCUGAUGCGCGAAAGCGUGGGUAGCAAACAGG
This 253-nucleotide ribosomal RNA is filed under the name uncultured bacterium. RNAcentral's name for it is "partial 16S ribosomal RNA". It matches the Rfam family "Bacterial small subunit ribosomal RNA", at positions 524 to 776 of the family's 1533-position model. The record is from RNAcentral.